RNAcentral lists this ribosomal RNA (477 nucleotides) under uncultured Shewanella sp. RNAcentral describes it as "bacterial SSU rRNA". It matches the Rfam family "Bacterial small subunit ribosomal RNA", at positions 97 to 570 of the family's 1533-position model. Lineage: Bacteria; Pseudomonadati; Pseudomonadota; Gammaproteobacteria; Alteromonadales; Shewanellaceae. The record is from RNAcentral.
GGCGGACGGGUGAGUAACGUGUAGGAAUCUGCCUAGUAGAGGGGGACAACAGUUGGAAACGACUGCUAAUACCGCAUACGCCCUACGGGGGAAAAGAGGGGACCUUCGGGCCUUCUGCGAUUGGAUGUACCUAGGUGGGAUUAGCUAGUUGGUGAGGUAAUGGCUCACCAAGGCGACGAUCCCUAGCUGUUCUGAGAGGAUGAUCAGCCACACUGGGACUGAGACACGGCCCAGACUCCUACGGGAGGCAGCAGUGGGGAAUAUUGCACAAUGGGCGCAAGCCUGAUGCAGCCAUGCCGCGUGUGUGAAGAAGGCCUUCGGGUUGUAAAGCACUUUCAGCGAGGAGGAAAGCUUAAGCGUUAAUAGCGUUUAGGUGUGACGUUACUCGCAGAAGAAGGACCGGCUAACUUCGUGCCAGCAGCCGCGGUAAUACGAGGGGUCCAAGCGUUAAUCGGAAUUACUGGGCGUAAAGCGUAC